This 271-nucleotide ribosomal RNA is filed under the name uncultured bacterium. RNAcentral describes it as "partial 16S ribosomal RNA". It matches the Rfam family "Bacterial small subunit ribosomal RNA", at positions 524 to 794 of the family's 1533-position model. The record is from RNAcentral.
UACGGAGGGUGCAAGCGUUGUUCGGAAUUACUGGGCGUAAAGCGUGCGUAGGUGGUGCAUUAAGUCAGACGUGAAAGCCCCGAGCUUAACUUGGGAACUGCGUUUGAUACUGGUGCGCUAGAGGACUGGAGAGGAGAGUAGAAUUCCUAGUGUAGAGGUGAAAUUCGUAGAUAUUAGGAAGAAUACCAGAGGCGAAGGCGGCUCUCUGGCCAGACCCUGACACUGAGGCACGAAAGCGUGGGGAGCAAACAGGAUUAGAUACCCUGGUAGU